ACCCUGUGAACUGAGAUUGUGAUGGCAGCUCACCAAAUGCUAUCAGUUCAACCUGCAUUUAAGACUUAAUCUGGCUUUGAGUUGGAGUGCUGCUUUAAGGUGACUUGGAGACAGGUGGCUUUAGAGGACAUCUGACCCUUCUGGCAGGGUGAGGACAGAGAAAGACUUUAUUUUUGGACAGUUAUGGAAUUGGCAUCCAAGGGAAAUCUGCUCUCGGAAUGAAGUGAUGCUCAUUCAGACCUGCAGUUCAUCUGAAUGUAUGUGGAGCUUGGAAUAAGUUGAUCAGUAGGCAGCCACUCUGAAACCCAUUACUACUUGUUUCUCAGGCACAUCAGUGAUGACAACUGACUUGCUAACAGAAACCCAUGCUGACUACUCCUAACCAUCUUCUUGUCCUGUCCUUGUCUUGAAAUGACUUCCAGGAGGAUUUGCUGCAUCACCUUUCCAGGGAUUGAGAUAUGAAAUAAAAUGAGGAUUCACAACUUGACUGCAGAAUUACAAGCAGAUGAGAGUCAGCAAUCUGAUCCCUGCUGCAUGGCCUAGAUCCUCCACUGGGAAUGCAAGAAAAAUACUGACUCUGGAGCAUGAGUUGAGCACACCGAUGAGAAAAGGUAAUUCUCUAAUGGACCGAUGAAAGCCAACGAUGACAAGUUGUGGUCAACAGUCCCUGAAUGUGCUGAUGGUUCUGCUUUCAUUACUCUUGUCAGCAGUGUUGUCCGCACAUUUUCGGGUCUGCGAGCCAUAUACGGACUACAAAGGUCGCUACCACUUUGGUUUUCACUGUCCCCGUCUUUCUGACAAUAAAUCUUACAUCUUUUGCUGUCACCAUAACAACACAGUAUUUAAAUACUGCUGCAAUGAGACAGAAUUUCAGACUGUUAUGCAGAUGAACUUAACAGGGAACGCAGAUGGAUACAUGCAUAACAACUACAGUGCGCUGUUAGGAGUGUGGAUCUAUGGCUUUUUUGUGGUGAUCUUGCUGGUACUGGACCUUUUAUAUUACUCUUCAAUGAACUAUGAUAUUUGCAAAUUUUACCUGGCACGGUGGGGAAUCCAGGGCAAGUGGAUGACACAGGGACAGAGCCGAUGGAUUAACCGUGCUCAGGAUCCAAGCCAAGUACAGACACAGCCUCAGCCAGAGACACAGCCUCAGCCAGAGACACAGCCUCAAACAUCACAGACAGUACAUACUUUAAAAGGAGAUGCUUUAAGCCCACCCCUGAUGUCUUUUCAGAGUACAUCUGCCUGCACGCAGAGGCGAGGUCUGCUCUGGAUGUGAUCUUAUAUGUUAUGCUACAUGACUCGUGGUUUCGGAAACCUGCUAGUUCUCCAGAAUCAGGAAAAGUAUCAGCCCAGCAGGAAAAUUAUAUUGAUGUGCCUCAAGAUGGGAGAGGUAAGAUCAGACUUCAAGGAGCAGCUUUCAAGAAAAUCAACUAAAUGACAAGAGCUGAAACAAUGAUGUAUAAGCAGGAGAGAGAAAGACUACAAGAGGGUAAUUGAGCAAGUCACCUGAAGAGAAACAUCAUUCCGAUAACUUCUACAGGCAAACAAUAUAGAAAGAAUCUUCAGAAGAAAGUAGUCUGUAAGCAAUAUUUUAAUUCUAGACCGACAAUAUUAUCUCUGAAAGGAAGCAUCAUAUUUGAGGAAAUGCUCAAUAGGAAGAAAACUAAGUUGCUCUGGCAAAUCCACACAAAGGUGGAAAAAGAUCACAAGACAAACCUUUGGUAGAUAACUUUUCUUUGCCUCCCCAUCCAUCUAUUGCCAUUUGAGCCUAAUCUAAGUGUCAGAAUACUGAAUGUGAGUUUUUCCAAAGUUCUCUGGUGAAUAUUUUGUCACAAUAGGGUAGAUGCUGGCAAUCCCCGUCACUGUUAACUAUAUUGUCAUAUGCAUUAGAAGCUAAGCGAAGCCCUUUCAUCGAGUCAAACUGCAGGGUAGCAAUUAUUUCAACCUUAAUACACAUUUUAAGAUCAUUGGCAAUGAUAAUGCUAAGAUAACAAACAUCUGAGCACAUCUUGGCUUCAGUUUCACAUACCCUCCUGAAGAGAGGAGCUUUACUAAGAAGAAACAGAGACACCUCAUUCCACCCGCGUACUCCUUGAAGCUGAAGGAGAAACAGAAGAAAAUCAACAAACUAUAUAUUUCAAAAGCAAUAAUACCAUUGUCCCUCUGCUUUACAAGGCAAUAAUCCAAUUCCCUCAGCCACCAACUGGCUUCAGAGUUUACCCCUCACAAAUCUAAGAAUUCAUUUGUAAGCCAGAAGGGCAAUGAUGUGGAGUACUUGGUCAAUAGGGUGCAAUAGCUUGACUUAACUUUCCACAGGACAGGUUUAUUUUAAAAUCAUAGAGUAUCAAUUAUAUGAGCAGAUCCUGUGAAAUUCAAUUAUUUAAGAUACAUACAUGGAGAACCUGGCAAUGAAAACUAAACAAAGGAGUUCAUCUAGAAAUUGUAACACAAAGCCAUUAUAAUGCCAAAUUAAUCCUUCAUGCCUAAUAUUUUGUCCUGCAAAUCUGAAUAACUUCAAAAUAACCUUAUAUUUUACUGUAUAACAACAUGAGGAACACCUUGUCAAUGAACAAUCAAGUUUUCCUUUUGUACCUCUUUGAUUUGAGUGAAAUUUAGUCUUCUGUUGAACUCAAAAGGGAUACAGUGAUUUGACCUAAUUCACGGCUACCAGAGCUCAUGAUGGUACGUGACUAAAGACACGCAGGAAUAGAUAGUGCAGGGGACCCACCAAGGCUGGAUACCAUAGGAGUGCCCCGUCUUCAAAGAAGGCCCAAGCUGAGUAGGAUACCAAUAUGCACAUGCCUCUUUUCUUUGCAAACUAACUAGUAAAAAAUGGUAUCACUGAGUAAGGGCAGGCAACAGCUAAUAAGGCCACAGGUGGGAGUGCCGCCCUGCAGGCAUUAGACUCCAUCCCAUCCUAGGUAAGCUUAAGGCCUGGCCCAUUCUCACUCUUUACAGAAGCUCCUGCGUACACCCCUCUGCACACAAUGCCAUCCAUACCUCUGCCAACGUCACUUCUUCUCCACACUUCCACAUCGACUCCAAGAUCCGCAACCCCUGCAGACACCCAACAAAGUACAUAUCUACAGUCAUCGGUCUUUCUUUGGCGCUCUGCAGCAACUGUUUGCUCCUUUUACCUUCUGCCGGCACCUACUUUCAUUGUGAGGUGAUGACCGCCACAGAAAGCUUUGUAAAAAGCUUAUGUUCAUGAAGGAAUUUGUAUUAGAUACUGGUUUGUGUGACUUACUGUAUUUUGUAAGGGUUUUUUUCCCUUUGGGAAUUGUGCGUUAUUAAUGAGCAGUUUUAUGCUUUACUUCUAGUACAUGUAUACCUUGUAAUUGAUGUGCUCUUUGUUUGUUUGUUUUCUUUUAUCCUCUAUACAGAGCCAGUUAAUAUAAGGUAGAUACUCGCUGGCUGAAAUUCUGAUUUUGCCUACCGAUUAAUUUAUGGAUAAAUCCAUGUCAUUGCUGAUGAACAAUUGUUCAUCGAUUGUGUUGUUAUAAUCAUCUGAUAGCCUCUCUAGUUUAGCAGAAUAUAAGAUCUUGAAUAAGACUAAUGCUCGUUGGGCCUUAAGCUAAAGGGAAAUAGUGCACCACUUGUGUUUCCCUACCACCAUCGCUAUCGGCCCUUCUCCCUUUGCUUUUGGGACAUUGUAGAAGAGCACUGGCUAGACAAACAGUCACCUGAACAUCUCAACCAUCUAUGUAGCUGUGCUCUGAUAUCCCUCUGCAUUUACAUGAUCGAAAUUAUGGUGAACCAGAUAAACUGCAAUGAAUUCUUCAGUUAUUUCUGCAGAAAGAGACUGGUUCAAACACAAUCUUUCUCUAAAAAAAAAAAAGACCUGGACUAAAAUAGAUAUCUUUUCCUCUAUGUCCAUCCUGAUAUGGUUGGAAAAAUAUGGGAUCUAAAAUUACCUUUUGCAGAAGUGUAUAAUGCCAUUAUACACCCUAUUUAACAAUGGCAGCUGUCUGUCUUGGUGGCUAUUAAUGACCUUCGUGCUCCAGAAGUCUCCUUCCUUGUCCAACUCAUUUUCUGUCUUCAGUUUUACUGAGAACUGAGUGUCCAACUUCUUAAUAAUUGCUGUGUAUAACGUAGGACAUAAAAAGAUAAGUUAUAAAGCUUGUGCAGGACUUGGUGUUGUAAUUAACCAUCUUUUGUGCCUGGUUAUCGAUCUUACGAAAACAGAGUGAAAACAAUCUGGCCUCUUAAUGUGUACUGCAGCAUAUUGUAGCAGCUAUUUUAGAUAACUGUUUUUAAUAGUUUUAUUAUGGCUGUAAUUUCUAUAUGAGGACUGUCCACUUGAAGAAGCGAUGAAGUAACAUGUCAAAGUGAUUUUUAAAGUCAGUUCUAUUUUGGCACGUGCGAUGGUGUAUGAAAAGUAAAGCAACAAAAACAGAACCUCACCCGCUCGCCAGGAAAAAACAUCUUUUCUCAGCCUUGAAAAUUCUCUUGUAUAAGACAGGCAUUUCUUCUAGUCCUCCUUUUACAUAAAUAGUAAAUCACUAAGAAGAUAAUAUAUACAGUACAAUAGUCUAUUUUAAUAGUCAGCAGUCAAAUUUUAGGCUAAUUAAGCUAACUAGAAAUUGUAGGGUUGCAGUGAUUUCUCCCUCUUUAUUAAUACAUUGACAAUAAUAGUGUUUACAUAACACUCAGUGUUUGAAAACAAUAUGUGCCAGUGUCCAGUGAUUUGCUAAUCUAGUUUUUGAUCUAAUCCUGUCCUAUUUUUUGCAGCAUUCUCUAACAUCAUAUUAUGAAUCAUGUUGUCUUUCUAAAGUGAUUGCCAAGUAAACCAAAAACGUGUUUUACACUGCUAUUGCACUGCUCUUGUCUUUAUAUACAGUAGUUUUUAUAAAGAUGUCCUUAGGUUUUAAUAAAUGAGUGUAACGUAAACUAAUCUCUGUAAUAAAACUUGCU
Grus americana (Whooping crane) is the source of this 4917-nucleotide RNA transcript. It is a transcript of the gene named shisa like 1, with no coding region annotated. The transcript has 8 exons. The record is from RefSeq and is a predicted model, not a curated record. NCBI's taxonomy places the organism in Eukaryota, Metazoa, Chordata, Aves, Gruiformes, Gruidae.